Molecule: ribosomal RNA, 463 nt
Filed under: Poecilochaetus serpens
Lineage: Eukaryota; Metazoa; Annelida; Polychaeta; Spionida; Poecilochaetidae
Description: partial 16S ribosomal RNA
Rfam family: Bacterial large subunit ribosomal RNA
Source: RNAcentral
ACAUCGCCUCCAGAACAAAUAUUGGAGGUCCAUCCUGCCCAAUGAAUAAUUUAAAUGGCCGCGGUACCCUGACCGUGCAAAGGUAGCAUAAUCAUUUGCCUCCUAAUUAGAGGCUAGUAUGAAUGGACACACGAGAGUCAAGCUGUUUCACUCUUAUAAAUAAAAAUUAAUCUUCAGGUGAAAAAGCCUGAAUUAAAUAAAAAGACAAAAAGACCCUAUUGAGUUUUAUUGGAACCGUUUUCCCCUAGUAAAGAAUUGAAAAAGAAAAAGCAGAACCAAUUUAGUUGGGGCGACUGAGGAAGAGAUUAAAUCUUCCUUACAAAUAAAGGUAAUAAACCAAUUUAAUGAUCCGUAUAUACGAUUAAAAGAAAGAACUACCAUAGGGAUAACAGGCUAAUUUUCUUUGAGAGUCCAUAUUGACAAGAAAGUUUGGCACCUCGAUGUUGGCUUAGAAUACCUAUAA